This 253-nucleotide unclassified non-coding RNA is filed under the name uncultured Gammaproteobacteria bacterium. RNAcentral describes it as "contains 16S-23S intergenic spacer region". It matches the Rfam family "Bacterial small subunit ribosomal RNA", at positions 524 to 776 of the family's 1533-position model. Lineage: Bacteria; Pseudomonadati; Pseudomonadota; Gammaproteobacteria. The record is from RNAcentral.
UACGUAGGGUGCAAGCGUUAAUCGGAAUUACUGGGCGUAAAGCGUGCGCAGGCGGUUGUGCAAGACAGAUGUGAAAUCCCCGGGCUUAACCUGGGAACUGCAUUUGUGACUGCGCGGCUAGAGUGUGUCGGAGGGGGGUGGAAUUCCACGUGUAGCAGUGAAAUGCGUAGAGAUGUGGAGGAAUACCGAUGGCGAAGGCAGCCCCCUGGGAUAGCACCGACGCUCAUGCACGAAAGCGUGGGGAGCAAACAGG